CCGUACGAGCGCACCCCUAUCCCUAGUUGCUAGCAGUUCGGGCUGAGAACUCUAGGGAGACUGCCGGUGACAAACCGGAGGAAGGUGGGGAUGACGUCAGGUCAUCAUGGCCCUUACGGCCAGGGCUACACACGUGCUACAAUGGUGCGCACAGAGGGCUGCAAACCCGCGAGGGGGAGCUAAUCUCACAAAACGCAUCGUAGUCCGGAUCGGAGUCUGCAACUCGACUCCGUGAAGUCGGAAUCGCUAGUAAUCGUGAAUCAGAAUGUCACGGUGAAUACGUUCCCGGGCCUUGUACACACCGCCCGUCACACCAUGGGAGUGGAUUGCACCAGAAGUAGUUAGUCUAACCUUCGGGAGGACGAUUACCACGGUGUGGUACAUGACUGGGGUGAAGUCGUAACAAGGUAGCCGUAGGGGAACCUGCGGCUGGAUCACCUCCUU
This 444-nucleotide ribosomal RNA is filed under the name uncultured Marinobacter sp. RNAcentral describes it as "bacterial SSU rRNA". It matches the Rfam family "Bacterial small subunit ribosomal RNA", at positions 1087 to 1532 of the family's 1533-position model. The record is from RNAcentral. Lineage: Bacteria; Pseudomonadati; Pseudomonadota; Gammaproteobacteria; Pseudomonadales; Marinobacteraceae.